This 582-nucleotide ribosomal RNA is filed under the name uncultured fungus. Its description in RNAcentral is "eukaryotic LSU rRNA". The stretch from base 191 to 344 matches the Rfam family "5.8S ribosomal RNA". Lineage: Eukaryota; Fungi. The record is from RNAcentral.
CAUUACCGAGUUUACAACUCCCAAACCCAAUGUGAACCAUACCAAACUGUUGCCUCGGCGGGGUCACGCCCCGGGUGCGUCGCAGCCCCGGAACCAGGCGCCCGCCGGAGGGACCAACCAAACUCUUUUCUGUAGUCCCCUCGCGGACGUUAUUUCUUACAGCUCUGAGCAAAAAUUCAAAAUGAAUCAAAACUUUCAACAACGGAUCUCUUGGUUCUGGCAUCGAUGAAGAACGCAGCGAAAUGCGAUAAGUAAUGUGAAUUGCAGAAUUCAGUGAAUCAUCGAAUCUUUGAACGCACAUUGCGCCCGCCAGUAUUCUGGCGGGCAUGCCUGUCCGAGCGUCAUUUCAACCCUCGAACCCCUCCGGGGGGUCGGCGUUGGGGAUCGGGAACCCCUAAGACGGGAUCCCGGCCCCGAAAUACAGUGGCGGUCUCGCCGCAGCCUCUCCUGCGCAGUAGUUUGCACAACUCGCACCGGGAGCGCGGCGCGUCCACGUCCGUAAAACACCCAACUUCUGAAAUGUUGACCUCGGAUCAGGUAGGAAUACCCGCUGAACUUAAGCAUAUCAAUAAGCCGGAGGAA